GUGGGGACAGGCUGUGCCGGGACAGGGCGGAGGAGGAUUACACGGCUCGGCUCAGCCGCUGCUGCCAGACACACCUGGGCAAGAAGAAAGGAAGGAAGGAAAACCAAGCAAACAGCCGGUGUCCACUCCCGGGCGCCCCGUGGAGAAAGCCCUUCCCGAAAUAGCUUGCAAACAGCUUCUGGCGGAAAACUCCCCAAGCCUCUUCACGUCCACAGCCGUUCCUCAGCCUCUCCUUGUCUUUCGUGACCUUGACAUUUGCGAAGGGCACUGACCAGGGUUUGUCGGAUGUUUUCUCGUGAUUUGGUCGUCGAUGCUCCGUUCUCAGUGUCGUGUCGGGUCCCUGACGUCGCUGUGCCUCAUCGCUGCGAUGCUCCCUGGGUCCCCCGGCUGAAGCGGUGUCUGCCGGCUUCUACCGUAAAGCUCUUGUUUCCCCCUUUGUAAUUAAUAAAUAUUUUGGGGAAAAUACA
Choloepus didactylus (southern two-toed sloth) is the source of this 467-nucleotide long non-coding RNA. RefSeq lists it as uncharacterized. The record is from RefSeq and is a predicted model, not a curated record. The transcript is spliced from 2 exons. Lineage: Eukaryota; Metazoa; Chordata; Mammalia; Pilosa; Megalonychidae.